This is a long non-coding RNA of Xenopus tropicalis (tropical clawed frog), 844 nucleotides long. RefSeq lists it as uncharacterized. NCBI's taxonomy places the organism in Eukaryota, Metazoa, Chordata, Amphibia, Anura, Pipidae. The transcript has 3 exons. The record is from RefSeq and is a predicted model, not a curated record.
GCCCCAAGUACCGACCCACCGGCCCCAAGUACCGACCCACCGGCCCCAAGUACCGACCCCAAGUACCGACCCACCGGCCUUAGGUACCGACCCACCGGCCCCAGGUACCGACCCACCGGCCCCAAGUACCGACCCACCGGCCCCAGGUACCGACCCACCGGCCUUAGGUACCGACCCACCGGCCUUAGGUACCGACCCACCGGCCCCAGGUACCGACCCACCGGCCUUAGGUACCGACCCACCGGCCCCAGGUACCGACCCACCGGCCCCAGGUACCGACCCACCGGCCUUAGGUACCGACCCACCGGCCUUAGGUACCGACCCACCGGCCUUAGGUACCGACCCACCGGCCUUAGUACCGACCCACCGCCCCAAAGUACCGACCCACCGGCCCCAGGUACCGACCCACCGGCCUUAGUACCGACCCACCGGCCCCAGGUACCGACCCACCGGCCCCAGGUACCGACCCACCGGCCCCAGGUACCGACCCACCGGCCUUAGGUACCGACCCACCGGCCCCAGGUACCGACCCACCGGCCCCAGGUACCGACCCACCGGCCCCAGGUACCGACCCACCGGCCUUAGGUACCGACCCACCGGCCUUAGGUACCGACCCACCGGCCUUAGGUACCGACCCACCGGCCUUAGGUACCGACCCACCGGCCUUAGGUACCGACCCACCGGCCCCAGGUACCGAUUGGCCUCUGCCCCCCCCGCCGCCGCCGCCUGUGCGCUCAGCUUGCACCAUUAGGGCCCCCAUGUGUUAGGGUCACACUCACACUCACUGGCCCCCAUGUCCCCGGUACUCUCGCCAAGAGACCCCCCCUUAGGCCUAUUCCCCGGU